UGGGUCGAUAUUAAUUUGGAAUG
RNAcentral lists this non-coding RNA (23 nucleotides) under Arabidopsis thaliana (thale cress). The record is from RNAcentral. Lineage: Eukaryota; Viridiplantae; Streptophyta; Magnoliopsida; Brassicales; Brassicaceae.